AGGAUUUUAGUUUAUCAAAACAUUUGAUUUGCAAUCAAAAAAUAUUAAUAAUUUAAUUUAUCUUA
Molecule: transfer RNA, 65 nt
Filed under: Casmara patrona
Lineage: Eukaryota; Metazoa; Arthropoda; Insecta; Lepidoptera; Oecophoridae
Description: tRNA-Ala
Source: RNAcentral